GGGCCUUUUGAAUUAAAUCAAUGACAUAUUUGAGUUGAAUUUAUUUCUGUUAUAUAAGAAAUAAAGUUCAAAUAUUUUUGUAAGUUGCUUGUGACCUUGGACUAGUUUCUGAGCUCACAUAACAAUUUACAGAAAGUUCAAAAAAUGAUUUGAUGUUUUAAAAUCAAAUCAAAACAAAAUGCAAAGAAAUAGAAAACUAAAACAAAUAAAAGAGAGAGAGAGAAGGACUACCUGGCCACCUACCUGUAGCCGGCCCAGCUCGCUGGCCCAGCCCUCCUGGCGCCUCAUGUCGUCUUCCUCCUGCCAAUAGGAGCAGCUGCGUGCUCGCACGCGCGCGGCCGAGGAGGCCAGCUCCUCCCUGCCUACCUGCCCCCUCCCCGACGCGUCUGGACGACGCCACGUGCCACCCCGGUCCUUCUCGCCUCUUCCACGUGUCAUCCCCGCCUCUGCCGCUCUCUCUCCUGAAACCAAAUGUAGCCAUCGCCGCCGACGAGCUCCACCACGGCCACAGCUAUCUCCGAGCCUCUCCGACGCGCCCCCGAGCUCCGCCGUGACGUCCCCGUCCUCUUCGCCGAGCCACAUGACGCCGAAGCGCCCCGCAGCGCCGCUAUCGCUGUUGUCUUCUUCCUCUGCUCCGAGCGCCGCCCCGUUCGAUUCGUCACCGUCCGGGCUUCCCCGACCUCUCCGACGACGCCAUAGAGUUCACUGUGAGCUCCUGUUGCUUCCCCCUCGCUCUCCCCCUCCGUUCUCGUCCCCUAGCCCCGUCUUCCGACCGAGCCCGAGAGCUCACCGCCGCCGGCCAUGGCACCGCCGUAGCUAGAGCGCAUCCACGACACAUUCGAGCCCACCCCCGUGCUCAACGAGUCCGCAGGACUCCACAGCAACCCGCAGCUCGUCCUCCCGUGCACCAAAACGCUGUGUCCGAGCGUGCCCGUACUCCGGCCGCCGCGGAAGUGCUCGCCGCCGUCACCUCUGGCCAUCCCAGCUGCUGCUGCUACCACCACUAGAUGCGCGGGAGCGCCAGCAAUCCAUAGGAGCAAACCCCGCCUCAAACCGUGGGCUGUAGCGAGAUCCCGAUGAUCUCCGUCGCGCGAAAUGGUCGUCGCCGGCGAAACUCCGGCGACUGAUGACGUGGCUCGUCAUUAGCCACUAAUGACCCAGCUAAACCACCCCUAGAGCCACUGCCAUGUGGGCCCCGGUGCCUAAACUAAUUAGUUUUAUUUCUCUAUUAGAUUAGCACUAACCACAGUGGGCCCGCCUGUCAACGUUGACUUGGGCACGUCAGCUUUGACCGGGUCCCACAUGUCAGCCUCUGUAGCUGACUCUGUGUCACUGACCAGUAGGUCCCACUAGUCAGGUUUGACCUAGACCAGCCGCUAUUGACUUGCUGAUGUCAUCCUGACGCAAUGCUGACGCAUUAAUUUAAUUACUGGAAUUAUGUUUAUACAGGAAAUUUCAGAAAAUGCCACAAACUUCAGAAAAUCCUAGAAAAUAAUCUAUAGCUCAGAAUGAAAAGAUUUAUAUAUGAAAAAUGAUCAGAAAAAUCCAAUCUAUCCAUCUGCACUGGUUUCAUGCACGAUAAAGCAACUUAAACCUUCUGUUUAUAUCAAAACAUGUUAAUGCACUUUAUAAACCCUCGACUUGAGUUUGUAUUUGAAUCUUUGAUUCAAAUGAGCUCAAACCACCCUAGUUGUAGAUGCAUUAUCCAAACACACUCAUCUUGCCAUGUAUUAUUCAUGCAUCAUAUUGUUGCAUUGCAUUGAUUGUGUUUUCCCUCUGUUGCCGGUAAUUGUCCCCUCCCGAUAGACGUGAUUCCGACGACGUGAUCAAUGACACCGGCGAAGAACUAUAAUAUCUUCAGAAGUGCCAGGCAAGCAAAACCCCCUUGUUCAUUCCGAUACAAUCCCACUCUCUCGCUCCUGCUCUCUUUUACUGCAUUAGGACAACAAUGAUUCAUCUGUUACUUGCUGCGGUAGUUGAACCCCUUAUCCUCUGCAUGACCUGUCAUUGCCACAGUAAAUAGAUGAAACCCACUAGCAUGAGUAGGAGUUGUUUGAGCCCUGAUGUGCCUACUCAUUCAUGCUUGUUUGUCAUGCCUACUACUGCUUAGAGUUGAGUCGGGUCUGAUUCAUCGGGGAUGAGUUGGAAUGGUGUGAACAUGUCCUACUGUUGAGAGCUAAGUGUGUGAACACGAUUUGGUAAAGGUAGCGGUGAGAGGCCAUGUAGGAGUACAUGGUGGGUUGUCUCAGUGAAGCCGUCCUCAGGAACUGAGUUCUGUGUUUGUGAUCCAUGAAACAGUGACUACCAUGCAUUGGGCCUGAAACCAAUGGACCCUCUCGGUUUCUUAAUCACCCUUGUCCUCUGUCCAGGAGUUGCAAGUAGUUUCUGGUGUUUGUAGUAUGCUGGAGGCCGUGCGCAGCGCUGACCCGAGGGGUGGGCUGUGAUUGGGUAGGCACGUGGCCGGGCAUGCCGGGCGCCCGUUUGGUGUCUCGGAACCCUGUACACAUCGUUCGGGGCUGUAUGUGGAAACCUCGGCCGGACUCCCUGCGGAUGGAACCUGAAUAGGUGAUAAACCUGGACUAGAGACUUGAGUGUUUAGGUAGGCUGUGGCCAACACCCACGUUGGGCUUCCGCUUGAAGGUUGCCGAGUACAUGUCGUGUAAACGGCGGUAAGUGGUGAGAGCGUGUGUGACGAAGUACACCCCUGCAGGGUUAAUAUGAUCUAUUCGAAUAGCCGUGUCCGCGGUAAAGGACUUCUGGGUUGCCUAUAACAGUUCAUAGACAAGUGAAAGUGGAUACUGUAAAAUGCGCAAGAUAAGCAUGGGUGCUAUGGAUGGCGUCCUCGUAGGGAGACGGGAGCGAAUCCAUAGUGGUGUAUUGAUAUGGUGAAUAUGUGGACUCGUGUGCGCCACCUCAAAAGAGUUACUUGCAGUCGUAGUUAGGAUAGCCACCGAGUCAAAGCUGGCUUGCUGCAGUUAAACUCCACCACCCCCUUUGUUGAUACCGAUGCAUAUGUAGAUAGUUCUGAUGUAAGUCUUGCUGGGUACAUUUGUACUCACGUUUGCUUAUUUUAUGGUUUGAAGAGAGACGUCAGUCUUGCUAGUAGUUCCGUGUGGACUUCGACGUUUAGCUUGAUACCUCAGCUACGAUCUUGUGCCCUCGGCAAGAUCUAGUAAAUAGUCAGGCUUCUCAGCCUUUUUCAUUUGUAGAUGUCUGUACUCAGACAUGUUAAGCUUCCGCAUGUGUGACUUGUAUGCUCUGAAUGUUGGGUCAUGAGGCCUAUGUUUGUAAUAUCUCGCUCCUCGGAGCCUAAUGAAUAAGUACAUGAGUCGUAGAGUUAUGUUGUGAUGCCAUGUUGUAUUUACACAUAUCGAGAAUAUUGUGUGUAUGAUUGAAAUGCUUGGUAUGUGUGGGAUCCGACAACCUAGUUGUUUAUCCUUGGUAGCCUCUCUUAUGGGGAAAUGUAGUCUUGUGCUUCCAUGAGCCAUAGUAGUCCGCUACAGCCCGGUUCACCGGAAUCCUGCUAGCCCAGCACUACUGCUCCGGAACACUUGACUGGCCGGCAUGUGUUUCACUUCGCUCCUGUGUCUGUCCCUUUGGGGAAAUGUCACGCGGUGACAUCCGGAGUCCUGCCUAGCCUGCUACAGCCCGGGUUCCCGGAGUCCUGCUAGCCCAGUGCUAUAGCCCGGAUUCACACGCUGCUGACCGACAUGCUCGAUGUUGACUCAUGUAUGCAUGUCCCCGUAAGUUAGUGCCACUUUGGGUUCACGACUAGCCAUGUCGGCCCGGGUUCUCUGUCAUAUGGAUGCUAGCGACACCAUCAUAUACGUGAGCCAAAAGGCGCAAACCGUCCCGGGCCAUGGUAAGGCGACACCCGUGGGAAUACCGUGCGUGAGGCCGCAAAGUGAUAUGAGGUGUUAUAGGCUAGAUCGAUGUGACUUAGAAUUGGGGUCCUGACAGCGUUGGUAUCAGAGCCUGACUGCCUGUAGGAUUACCAAGCCAAACUGGUCGAAGUUGUGUCUAGAAAUGCUUUAGUUAUAUAAGGAAAUUGAUUGUGGGAGGGAACGUAAGGCUCUUUUUACUCCUUUACCUUAUGCCCUUCUGAUCUGAGUCACCCUCUUCUCUUCUACGGGAUUAAGAACUAGGCUUCUCAUCUUUCUAUCAGGAUCACGUGUUACUAAUCCGUAGACUCAUAGGAUUGAUGGAUUUAAGCCUCAGUUCAGUUCCUACUACUUCCGUAUGUUGACCAUUGAUCCCGGAAGUUUAUAUUGUGAUGUUGAGUGGUUAUGCCACCAUUUUGUAGGAUGUCUCAAAUCUUUUUGAGCAUUUACAGCCGUUAUGCUGUCCGAGUCAUCCCAGGCUCCUAAAUAGUCUGAUGCAUUUGCAAAUCCUUUCCGUCUGUUCUCGAUGUUCCUUUGGGCCAGAUUAACCACACUAAUCGUUGAGUUGAGGUACUCUGUUGCCUUGACCUAUAUGUUGGAGUUAUUAUUAUGACCCUAGGUGUUUUAGAGAACCACUCAGUAAUCUAGCAAUGCUCUGUAUCCCCAGUGUGAUGAUUCUGGCCAUUAUUCUCGAAAGCAUGCCGUGAUGCCAUUUAGUUAGUAGGCAUUCUAUUCCUGGGUUCUUGGACCCGAGAUUCAUCCUAAUUAUCUCAUGUUGAUAGUGUUUGCUCGUUCCUUUAGGUUAUUAGUAACCUUUGCAUAGUCCUCGAGGUCCGUGGUAUAUCCUUCUUCCAAAUACCAUGAACUGCUUAUGGCAGAAGUUCUUGAACCAAAAGAUCACAACCAGAGUGCUCUUGGCGAGUUCUCCAUCCAAAUUGUGAUUCUGCCAGUCCUUCUUCUUCUGCAUGGGUUAUCCGGAAGAAAUAUGUUGAACUUGUUCGACAUGCUAAACCAUGCAUCCAUAACUCAGAAAAACAUAUGUUCCUUUGGGUUGUCCCUCUUUAGUUAUUUUCUGGCCCUCGUCUGUCAAUUGAUAGUCAGGAGUAAUUGUGCAUUUGUGUUAUCGAUGCCUAUUAUUCUUGUGGUCUAUCAAGCCAUUCCAAUCCGGAAUGACUAGGAGAAACAAACUCCAGUACCUCGUCCAUCUCUGAGAUUGGGUCAAAGUAGUUGUAUUCCGCAGAUCAAAUGCCUAACCAGCUUUGGUUCUGUUCUACCUUCGAGUAUUACCCCCUUUAUGUCGAGAAUAUCGUAGGAAUUGCACCACCUUUUGUGAAUUCUUGACGCAGUGAUACUCCUCGCCAUCAUCAUUCAUUUCUCGGUCCCGUGUUAUUGUAACCGGAACACCGACAAGUGAAUCGUGAUGUGUGAAAUCAAUACUCCUAGCAACUCCGUUGCUUGGUAGUUGAAGGACAAUAAUUUCAUCCUUAGCGUGUUGGUUACUGAAUCACAUCCUAAGGUUGAUCGUGCUACCUAGUCCAUUUUUCCUGGUGCACCUUUGAUCAAGAGUUAGGAUUGUAUCAAUCCCUUUCUUGUUUGGUCAAAUCGUCUUGCCCUGAAAAGCAAGAUUGUUCUCGAGCUUAGUAACAUAUCGGUGGUUCGUGAUUUCCUGAAUAUCUUCUCGGAAGUAUCACCAGGUUGCUCCCUGACCGUUAUGUUGAGCUCGUGAUCAAGUUGGUUUCCUAUAAACCACCCCUUCUCCAAGAAUCUGUGUUGGAUACCCCUGAGCUAGUUGGUUGAGCUAAACAACAACUUGGAGAGUUGGAAGAUAAAAGCUUUGUCUGACUUAGUUCAUCCUUAAGGGAUAUCUUGGUGUGUGUGUGUGUGUGUGUUAAAGAAAGACGAUAUCUUCAUUGAUUGACCCUCGUGAUCAGUUGUUGGAUCUAUUAUCUUACCAAUCUUUGAUUUGAGUAUGGGCUAUCUCAAGUCAAAUCAGAACCAACGAUGUUCGUAAUGUUGUCUUACUCGUGGUUGAUCCCUCGAGCAUACACCAUUAUAUCUUUUAGGUCUGACCAAUGCUAUCACCGUGUUCACACGAUGGUGGAAGUCCAGUGAUAUGGAAAUUCCGAUGAGUUGCUGUUGAGCCCAUCAGCAGCAUCUUGUUUCCCCAUGAUUCAUGUUAAACAUUAAGCUAGUGUUGGAAACUUUGUAAACAAUGCCUUCAUGUUCCAUUCAUGAAGCAUAUGUUUGGAUGAAAGUAGUGACUUCCUCUAAUUCACGUGCAUCUGAUGCAAGUUGCCGUCGUGGAUUUGAGAAAGUCAAUGUUGCUUCUUUUGGAAUCAUCCCAAAAUCGGUCAUGCAUACGUGCGAAGUAUUCUGUGGUUCAGAGACUUGCAACCUCCGUUCUAUAUGUGUUCCUAGCACACCAAGCCACUGAUUGAUUUGUUCAAGGAAAAGGAGUUGUUGUGCAAACCCUAGGUCAUGCACAAGACUUCGUUACCCUAGAUGAUGGUUCCCCACCUGAACUCGGUAGUGUUUUAUCAUAAGACUACUAUGUGGUCAUGCUUGUCUGGGACAACGUGUUCACAUGUGUUUAGCAGAACCAGCUCAUGUUUUGGAGCUUGCUAUCUUAGUUCAUUCCUCGAGAAUCUCGCAAUGCCAUCUCGUCGAAUUGUGUUGCAAACUUUCUUUUCAGACAUGCUGAGUCUGAAGUAUCCUAUCACCAAUCGGAUCUGAAUCUAGGCAGAUAUGAUGGUUACAACAUUCCCAACGGUUGCAUUUUGUUCCCAGCUUGCACCCCAUCGUGCCAAUUUUCCAUGGGCUGCCCUUCUCAGCAGUUGCUGUCCAGGUCCAUCUUCAAAGGUGGACUUACCAUGAGUCCCAUUCAUUUCCGAUGAUAAGCAAAAAUCAUCCAUUUCGUUGUCUUCAACAAGGUAGUCCACAUCGUCCAUUCUAGCCCGAGUGUGUCGUUCUCCCGAACUCCCUCGAACGAUCGUUUGUGAUUGCCUUAGGCUGGCAUAAAGAGUUUCAAUGAUAUUUAUAUCAAAAGUAAUUCUUUUUUCCACUUGAGGGAAUAAUUCUACGAGUCACCUUUCCCAAGGUGCCCCAUUAUGGAAUCAUGGCAAUUUUCCUCGCUGCUUUGAAACCCUCGUCAAAUUGUUUCUUCCGCCCCUCCUGAUGCAUGUUUUGCCUCUCAGCUCCAGAGAUGUUUCUAUAUCUCAUUCCGUGAAUUCAUAUUGUGAUCAUUAAGAUGAUCCUAAGUUGCUCGAAUCUCAGAAAGAUCGAUUCUUCUAAAAUUCUCUCUCUCUAUUCGUUGUUAUGUUGGAUGUAGUUCUCAAAGCAAGACGUCGAGAUCAAGGUGAUGCAAUGAAUCAACAUCUUCGAGAAUAGCAAUUGGAUCAUGAAGAUUGUGUUAGUUUGUGUCCCCUCUGCCUUCUUACCUCAUGUCUUGAAUCUCGGGACGAGAUUCUUGUUUAGUGGGGGUGAGUUGUCACAUCCCUAGUUCUGGUCUGGCCUAGGCUAGCUUCCUUGUGAGCAUCAUGUUUAAAUUCAAAUGAAAUUUGAAUUGAGGAAUUCUCAAAGCCUCAGAAACCUUCUAAAAAUAAUCAACAUUUAAAACUUAUCAAAUGUGUCCAAGAAAAUGUUCCUAUUAUUCUGUGAAAAUAUUGGUAAGAGGUAAAAUCCAAACCAAUAUUUUUGGAAUCACAGAAAUAUUUAUUUUGGGCCUUUCGAAUUAAAUCAAUGACAUAUUUGAGUUGAAUUUAUUUCUGUUAUAUAAGAAAUAAAGUUAAAAUAUUUUUGUAAGUUGCUUGUGACCUUGGACUAGUUUCUGAGCUCACAUAACAAUUUACAGAAAGUUCAAAAAAUGAUUUGAUGUUUUAAAAUCAAAUCAAAACAAAAUGCAAAGAAAUAGAAAACUAAAACAAAU
Molecule: long non-coding RNA, 7806 nt
Filed under: Triticum aestivum (bread wheat)
Lineage: Eukaryota; Viridiplantae; Streptophyta; Magnoliopsida; Poales; Poaceae
Description: long non-coding RNA (TAES_LNC018367)
Source: RNAcentral